AUAUAAGAAUUAAUAAAUUAAAAUUAGUUUCGACCUAAUCCUAGAUAUAAAUUAUAUCCUUAUAUA
This 66-nucleotide transfer RNA is filed under the name Leptaulax koreanus. RNAcentral describes it as "tRNA-Arg". The record is from RNAcentral. Lineage: Eukaryota; Metazoa; Arthropoda; Insecta; Coleoptera; Passalidae.